AUGAGAAUGACCAUUCCCACCAUUUCCGGUGCUGCUACCUCCGAGACCUCCGCCAAGAACGAAGACCAGGAAAUGGAAGAUGCUGCCACUUCCAACCUUGCUCCUCCUCAUGUCAUUGAUCUCCCUGAUGAUGAUGACGAGGCGCCACUGAGGCCGGGGAGGAAUAGAAAGGCGCCGGCUGGCAAGACCGCUCAGGUUGCAUCAGUGCCUGAGACACUGGUUCAGGAGGGUGGCAACAUCACUCGAACUUCCGUGUCCUUCGCUGUGCCGCUGACGAGCGCUCGGCCUUCAUCGUCGACUGUUGACCCGCCCUCCCUUUUAGCCACACACCACGUCCCAGAGGACCAAGAGGGUGCUGCUAAGGAGGCUAUACGCCAGGCGGGGAUCAUGAUGGAGCAGGUGAAGGCGAUCCGAGAAGCCAGCCAAGCGGCCUAUAAUGCUAGCUCAGCCCUUCAGAGCAACGUCCAGAAAUGUUGCGAGCUUGUGGGUCGCUAUACUGAAUUGGAAAACAAACAUAUCUAG
RNAcentral lists this ribosomal RNA (522 nucleotides) under Triticum aestivum (bread wheat). RNAcentral's name for it is "partial small subunit ribosomal RNA". Lineage: Eukaryota; Viridiplantae; Streptophyta; Magnoliopsida; Poales; Poaceae. The record is from RNAcentral.